Molecule: ribosomal RNA, 448 nt
Filed under: uncultured fungus
Lineage: Eukaryota; Fungi
Description: SSU rRNA
Rfam family: Eukaryotic small subunit ribosomal RNA
Source: RNAcentral
CAUACCCGAUCUCCAGAGAUCUUUGCCAAUUUUUUUUCCAGCAGCCGCGGUAAUUCCAGCUCCAGUAGCGUAUAUUAAAGUUGUUGCAGUUAAAAAGCUCGUAGUUGAACUUUGGGUCUGGUUGUCCGGUCCGACUUUAUGUCGCGCACUGGUUUUCAACCGGAUCUUUCCUUCUGGCUAACCUGUACUCCUUGUGGGUGCAGGCGAACCGGGACUUUUACUUUGAAAAAAUUAGAGUGUUCAAAGCAGGCGAAAGCUCGAAUAUAUUAGCAUGGAAUAAUGGAAUAGGACGUUUGGUUCUAUUUUGUUGGUUUCUAGGGACCAUCGUAAUGAUUAAUAGGGACGGUCGGGGGCAUCAGUAUUCAAUUGUCAGAGGUGAAAUUCUUGGAUUUAUUGGAGACUAACUACUGCGAAAGCAUUGCCAAGGACGUUCAUAUCAGACGAAUGG